Molecule: long non-coding RNA, 2887 nt
Filed under: Sus scrofa (pig)
Lineage: Eukaryota; Metazoa; Chordata; Mammalia; Artiodactyla; Suidae
Description: lncRNA (ENSSSCG00050011471.1)
Source: RNAcentral
GUGAGGGCCAGGGUGGGGGCGGCGGCCGCGAAGGGGGCCCGUGCUUUCUCCGAGUCGCAGACUCGCGCUCGGGCAGCCGCCGCCGCCGCCGCCGCCGCCAUGUUGGCUUGAGGGCCGAUGACUGGGGGCGGCUGCGGCGCCGGGGACUGAAAAGUGGAGGAGGAGGCGGAGAGACAGAGCUCUGAGAGGAAACCCUUCCCGGGCUGAGAGGAAGGACCCGGCCUCUUCCGGGGACCAGCCGAAGUCGGCGUCGCGGGGAGCUCGCGAGGCCGGGGAGGGGAGGGGAAGGCGGAGACGGGGGAGGCGGAGGCGGCAGAGGAGCGCCGAGAAGCCGGAGGCGAUGCGCCCCGAGCCCCGCGGCUGCCCCGAGGCGCCCGCGGCCUGAGCCCCGACGGGCCGUGGGGUCUCCAGCCCGCCUCAUCUCCCCGCGCCCCCGGUUCGCCGCUCGGCUGCCCGGCCCGGGCUUGCGCUGCGGCUCCCAACGAGUUAAAUGCCCUUGAGCGCGGGUUUCCGCGGCCCGGCUCGCAGCCCCGGCCGCGCGAGCUGAGCUGUUUCCCCGCGCCGCCCGCCGGGGGACGCGUCCAUGUGUAGCCACAUAGUUAUCUGUGUACCUCGGCGCCGGGGCAUUCGCCUCCUGCUUAAUGAGGACUUGACUCGGGAGCAAGUGUGAAUCACUGCCGGGCUGGGAGAGGAGGCAGGCGAUUUAACCCCCUCCCACCCCGCUCCAUGUCCGUGUGUCACUCGGCUCGGCUCCCGGCGACUGUUCCUCUUCGCUCGGAACCUCGGCCAGGCCGGCACUUGGGCUCCGAGAGAACUUAUUUUUUUUUUUGGAAAGCACAGCUCGAACCGUUCAGGAUCCCGAAGGUUGAUUUCCGUAGCCCGAAGACUUCUCUUUUUGGUUCGUCUUUUUUGAUUUUUUUUUUUUUUUCUUCGCCAGUAUCUGGGUCUAUCUCAAACGGCAAGAUGUCCAGUAAUGUCCCGGCGGAUAUGGUAAGUGAAGGAUAAGAGUUACGACACCCUUUGAUUUACUUGUGGUUUCCAAUCUUUUUUAAUCGGAAAGGCUGCAGGCGUGGGGUGAAGGUUGCUGGCGGGGGACGGUUGAAAAGCCGCGGUGCGGGGACGUGGCUUUGGCCAAGUUGGGGGUUCUGCUGGCCCUCGUGUGGGAAGUACUGCUUCUAAUACGGUUUUUCUCGUCGGGCUGUGUUUUCUACAUGAUUAAAGACGAUGGAGAAGUUGGGAAAAUGUAGCAAGGUGGCUCGAAGUGGCGAAGAGCUCUUCCUCUUUGCUAGCAGCCUCUGAGCACUGGUGUCUUGGAGCUUCUGAAAACGUCAGUGGCCGUGGGCAGCGCUGAGGACGGAUGUCCCUACAGAUACCGAGGUGGCCAGGAAAACGGGGAUCUUGGCUCGGUGACACGGGUGGUUAAUGCAGUGGGUACUAGCUUGCUAUUUCCAAGAGCACAGCCGCAGUAUCCGGUCGAGGGAAGACUCGAUUAGGAUUUGCUGUGAGCUUUCUGAAACGUCUGGGUGGACAAGGAUGGCAGGCAGAAAUAUGAACACGUUUUGGAAUUGUCACAAAUCUAGGCUGACUCGAUUUUGCCACUUGUAAUGAAUGUGCCAGGACUCUUCGUACCGAGUAUUUAGUAGUAUUACAUCAUUGGACUUUUAAAAGCUAGUAAAACACAUUAUUGAUUGAGCCUUGGUCCUGCACUGUUGAGAAGUGGAAACAAAAAGUACUCUUGUUGAUUGACGCGUUUCUUUUUGCUUAUAAAGGCUGAGCUUAGGAGACUGUCGACUAACAGGAACCGUGUGGGUUUACAGUGCUGGGAGGUGGGUUCGUGGGAGUGUUACAUUACCCUGUGCCGUCCUAGGGGCAAACCUAAUGCACUUAAUGGGAAGAUGAAUGGUUUUGUUUAUGAAAGAAUUAAAGUUAACAUAGUUGUACUCGCUUACAUUAACUUAACGUUUGAGUGUUUUCGUAUUUCAGCGAAAAAACAAAAUUGAAUUUUGCCGAUGACUAAAUUUUAAAAUGUCAGAUAUUUCGAAGGACUGAACCUCAUUUACAGGCUGUAAAAUUAAAAAAAAAAAUUAAAUGGUUCUAAAUGGCACAUUUUGACCUUGGUUUAAAGACAUUGUGCUUGCGUUUGAUUUCCCUUUUAAUGCGCUAUUUAAAUGCAAAGCAACCACAGUGUUCCGUCUCUGGGGUGGCCACCCGGCCACCUUAACUCUCCUUCCCAAGUCGAGUGUUAAAACUCGAUCUUCGCCCUUAGAGUUUUCCCUUCCUUCCCGGUAGCACACUCCGAAUAGUCUCCUGCCCACGUGAGGAGAGCUGGGCUUGGUUUCCUGCCCCUCACUGUCCCGGUUGCCUGGGGAGGUCUCUGGCCGGAGCUGGAAAAUGCUCUUCCCCGGUUUGAUGGUGGCUCUGUGGGCGCAUCACCUCCAGCAAAGAUUUGCUCUCUCUCGAAAGCCUCCAUUUUAUGUCACCACGCACACUGUAAGAUCGGAUCACCCCGAGUACUUUUUAUCUGUCACGGAAGUUGUAGUGAAAUAGAUUGCUGUCCUUAAACAGUGCCACCACUUUCCUUUAGGCCCAGUGAUGAAGAAAAGCUAGGAUGUGCGUAGCAUCAGUCACAAAUUGAGAUGAUUUGGGGAAUACUGUUUCAAGUCAGAGAGAAGGUUGAGCAGCUCAUGUGGGAUCAGGGGACCAGGAAGUAGCGACACGGUUUUAUUAAUAGCUGCAGUUAUAAGAUAUAAACUAUUAAUGUUUUAAACUGUACUUGAAGGCCUUGAUGAUUCUGUGGUGCUUUGAGAUCCCUUGAUGAAAGGUGAUAUGCAAGGGCAAAGCAGUAUUAUGUAAUAAACGUAUAAUGCCCUGGUGAUGCUCUGAGGGU